This 497-nucleotide ribosomal RNA is filed under the name uncultured bacterium. Its description in RNAcentral is "partial 16S ribosomal RNA". It matches the Rfam family "Bacterial small subunit ribosomal RNA", at positions 28 to 507 of the family's 1533-position model. The record is from RNAcentral.
GAUGAACGCUGGCGGCGUGCCUAAUACAUGCAAGUCGAGCGAACAGACGAGGAGCUUGCUCCUCUGACGUUAGCGGCGGACGGGUGAGUAACACGUGGAUAACCUACCUAUAAGACUGGGAUAACUUCGGGAAACCGGAGCUAAUACCGGAUAAUAUAUUUAACCGCAUGGUUCAAUAGUGAAAGACGGUUUUGCUGUUACUUAUAGAUGGAUCCGCGCCGCAUUAGCUAGUUGGUAAGGUAACGGCUUACCAAGGCAACGAUGCGUAGCCGACCUGAGAGGGUGAUCGGCCACACUGGAACUGAGACACGGUCCAGACUCCUACGGGAGGCAGCAGUAGGGAAUCUUCCGCAAUGGGCGAAAGCCUGACGGAGCAACGCCGCGUGAGUGAUGAAGGUCUUCGGAUCGUAAAACUCUGUUAUUAGGGAAGAACAAAUGUGUAAGUAACUAUGCACGUCUUGACGGUACCUAAUCAGAAAGCCACGGCUAACUACGUG